This 253-nucleotide ribosomal RNA is filed under the name uncultured bacterium. RNAcentral's name for it is "partial 16S ribosomal RNA". It matches the Rfam family "Bacterial small subunit ribosomal RNA", at positions 524 to 776 of the family's 1533-position model. The record is from RNAcentral.
UACGUAGGGUGCAAGCGUUAAUCGGAAUUACUGGGCGUAAAGCGUGCGCAGGCGGUUAUGCAAGACAGAUGUGAAAUCCCCGGGCUUAACCUGGGAACCGCAUUUGUGACUGCAUAGCUGGAGUACGGCAGAGGGGGAUGGAAUUCCGCGUGUAGCAGUGAAAUGCGUAGAUAUGCGGAGGAACACCGAUGGCGAAGGCAGUCCCCUGGGCCUGUACCGACGCUCAUGCACGAAAGCGUGGGGAGCAAACAGG